UAGAUUCUUUAAACUAUUAAUUCGUUAUUCUCCGUGUUUUCUAUUCGAUCGUUUGACGCAGGUUUAGUGGCAUAGUGUCUGUGAAUAUUCAAUCUCAUAUCGUUAUCCUUCGCUGAAAAUUGUCUACUACGUUCGUUGCUAUUUUAUCCUGAUAAAUUGUAUUUUGUAGGAAUCGGUUUUUUUUGUAAAUCCUCGGUAUAAAUCUACCUGUUGUUACGUUUAAUUGCGAUAGAACUACAUUUUAAGUAUUUCGAACGUUUCUUGCAACAGAAAGCAAGGGAAUUUCAGAGCCGAGAAUAACGCGUCGUGUACUCAUUUAGAAAAUCGUGUUAUUUUCGGAUCAAAAGCAGCGCUGCGUAUACGAGAUACGUCGUCUAUGAAACAUAUAAUAUUGUUAGUAUGUUUACACUGAUCAGUGACGAGCACGAGUAUGCAUAACAUUCGGCAAUUUAAAACCGCGUUUUAAAAUCGUUCGCCAGAUAACGAAGGAGAAGUCGAACGAUAACGUUUGCAACUUUUCAACAACGAAAACCACAUUCUACCAUCUCGUAUAGAAAAUAUUUUACUCGACGUUGUACGAUAAGUUUCGUCCAAGACGAAUCCAGACACUUUGUUGUCAGAUGUUUUUUCUUUAUUAUUUAUUUAUUUACAUUUUACAAUUUGUCCAGUAGGACAUUUGGUAGAAUAUUAUAGCUUAGUGAUUGUUGUCAGAUGAAACGAAGAAUAUUUAAUAAUCAAAAUGUAAAUAGAUCUUAAGAGAUACUAAAGAAAGUCAACUUAAAAAGUUUAGGUUUAUCGUGGGUCCCUGGGGGAAUUGAGGGUGCGCGGUGGCCUCUGAUAAAAUUGACGUUACAAAAUAUUCGACAAAUUGCGUUGGACAAAUGUCCUACUGGACAAAUUGUAAAAUGUAAAUAAAUAAAUAAAAAAAAAAAAAAAAAUUGUGUUGCGGAUAUGUCUCAACGCGAUACGCAGCAGAAAAAAUAUACUUUCACGUAAAUCCCGCUGUCUGCUGCUGGAAAAAUCUAACAAGGUUGAUUCGCAGAAUCGUUAAUCACUGAUAAUAAAAGAUUCUUUCUAUUUGCAGACAUCCAUCAUUAUCUGUGAUAAUCUGAGUAUCUGUGAUCGCGAAUCUUACUGUUUAUUAGAAACUGAUCAACCACAACAACACGUAUCUAACGAUAAGUAUAACAGAACAAGGACUCCUGAUCGUUUCUGAUUAUGGAAAUAUAUCGACCAGAAACGUUUGAAACGUUCAACCUUAUUACUCUGUCGAAUGUAAAUCUAACGAAAAAGGAAUCCAAAAGAUAAUUGUCAAAGUGCGUGUAAAAAGUAAUUUCAAAAUGUGUAAUUAAAGACUACUGUUCACUAGAAGAGAUUGAUCAACCACAACCACACGUGUACGUAUUAUAUCGUCUAAAAUAUUAAAAGAAUAAUUCAUUUCAAAGGUUCCUUAACAUUAACGUUAAUCGCUUGUAUUUGAUAAGAUCUAACGAUAAGUACAACAGAACAAGGACUCCUGAUCGUUUCAGAUUAUGGAAAUAUAUCGACCAGAAACGUUUGAAACGUUCAACCUUAUUACUCUGUCGAAUGUAAAUCUAACGAAAAAGGAAUCCAAAAGAUAAUUGUCAAAGUGCGUGUAAAAAGUAAUUUCAAAAUGUGUAAUUAAAGACUACUGUUUACUAGAAGAGAUUGAUCAACCACAACCACACGUAUCUAACGAUAAGUACAACAGAACAAGGACUCCUGAUCGUUUCUGAUUAUGGAAAUAUAUCGAUCGGAAACGUUUGAAACGUUUAACUUUACCACUGUAAAUUUAACGAAAAAGAAAUCUAAAAGAUCAGUACGACGAGCAGCUUAACGAAUGUGGAUAGUAAAUUCAGAUAUUGAAUUUAUCGUUGCACGAUGAAUUUUGAAUGGAGUAAGAUAGAGAUCGAUAGGAAAAUUGUUAAGCUACUUUGGAAACAACGUUGGAAUAAACAAAAUUUUUAAGUAAUCAGUCAGAUGCUAAUCUUGUCGAAUCGGAAGAGUUUUCUUUUAGAGAGCAACGUUACUGCCGUCGAUGGUAACGUGAAACAUCUGUAUUGAAUCAUCGAAGUCGGAGAUAUAUUAAGUAGCUUAACAAAAACGAAUCGGAGAAAUAUCGUUAGAAUAUUGAAAUUCGUUUAUUAAUUACAUUUGGUAAUUACGUUUAAAAUCAACGACAAUGAAACGAACUUUUUUAUCUUGUACGUAUCAUCACUAAAUCUAAAUUCAAUUAAAGAGCAACGAAAUUUAUCGAUCGCGUUCAAUCGUCGUAUCUAAAUCCAACGAAAGAGAAAGACAAUUUAUUUGUUAUUCCCGAUUCUUUAAUUACGAAUUUGUUAAAUCGAAUCGUUAAAUCUAAAUCCAACGGAAUCCAGCGAAUAUCUGUAAAUAUAUCUGAGAAAAAGAAAUAACAAAGCAAAUUCGGAUCUCGUCGAUACGAACAACUUGCUUUUCCCCUUCGAAGUAACGUAACGCACUUUCCAUCGUCGACGCCAAACACUCGCAGAACGAACGUAGUAUCUCAAGUUCUUCGAAAGGAAACAGGAAAGCAGCGAGAAACACUGGUUCACCGCGUUUCAGCAUUGACCGACCCAGUUACUCGACACAGCUAUUCCAUUAAAACACGCUUUCCAACCAAUGCAAAAUCCUCAUUUUCACUGAUUCCUCCAUAUACGUUUUUAUCGGCGACGAACCGAUCCGAUUACAUCAUUGCCUGGUCGAAUCGACUCUGAUGGGAAUUCGAGAACGAAGAUCAGAGGAAAUUUCCUUUACUGUGCCAACGAGGAUAGGAAAACGAGCAAACAGCAACGAAUAGCGGAAACUGAACUACGAAAUAACAAACAAAUCAAGGGAACUUAACUGGAACUUAAUUUCGUGAACGUAAUUGGAAAAAUUGUUGGGUCGAUGUUUGAUUUAGUUUAAUGAAAGUUUAGUCGACCACGUUGUCGAUCUAUUUUUAACGUUAUAGUUAAAAUAUACGUGGAACUUUAGUUUGGCGAAUGCAGUUGGACAAAUUGACGAGUGUUCGAUAAGUGCGAAGGUUCCCUCGACGGUAUAAAUCGUCUUUAGUAUCAUAGUUAAAGAUAGAAUUUUCUAUAUCAGUUUCGAUGCAAAUGUUUCGCUUUACAUUUGACGUUUUGAAUUUUAAAGUAAAUUUAUGUUCAGCCAACUUAUCGAAAACGUGGAAUUACAGAACGGGCAAUCUUGGAGAUUUCGUUUAAGAUAUUCGAGUACCUUGAGAAUUAAGAGAAUACAAUUUUGUCAACAUAGCUGGUAGUAGUAGUUUUAUAACUCGAGUGCUCUAUUGAUAAAUAUUAAUGAGAUUAUCGAUAUUAUAAACAGGGAAUUAUCGUAAAUUUCAGUUCCAGGUACUUGGAAAAUAAACAUCGAAUAAAUACUCGCGAUUGUAUUUGACAGUACCACUUACGUUUUUCGAAAUACUUAUACGAUAUAAGAGUUAUUGUCUUUUUCAAGUGUGAAUUAAAUGCUCGAAAUA
Molecule: long non-coding RNA, 3520 nt
Organism: Bombus huntii
Lineage: Eukaryota; Metazoa; Arthropoda; Insecta; Hymenoptera; Apidae
Exons: 3
Source: RefSeq, a predicted model, not a curated record